Molecule: long non-coding RNA, 361 nt
Organism: Zonotrichia leucophrys gambelii
Lineage: Eukaryota; Metazoa; Chordata; Aves; Passeriformes; Passerellidae
Exons: 3
Source: RefSeq, a predicted model, not a curated record
AGGUUGAAUGAUGAAAAGUGAUAUUUACUGAUUUCAGAAGGAAGAGAAGACAUAAAUUCACAGAAGGAGGAACUGUCAAACACCAAGAAUUCCACCAUCACUUUUGGGCCCCAUCAAGACAAAGGCUAACAAAAGAGGGAGGCUAAAAGACCAACUCUAGUUUACAAUUCCAGCUUUCAAACUCAUCAUUCAUCAACUGAAGGAGGGUUUUUCAAAAUAAAAAACCACAGAUCAGGCAGCACAGCAGCACUGAUAGCCUACAAAUUUCCCAGGAUGUGAGAAAGGGGCACCAAGAAUGACGAAUGGAUCCAAGAUGAACUGGCACAUGCCAGCAGACACACACGCCAGUUGCCUCACAGGU